Microcebus murinus (gray mouse lemur) is the source of this 1671-nucleotide non-coding RNA. The record is from RefSeq and is a predicted model, not a curated record. NCBI's taxonomy places the organism in Eukaryota, Metazoa, Chordata, Mammalia, Primates, Cheirogaleidae.
UUCUGGGUAGCAUGUGAGAGAACAGACCCUGCCCUCAGGAGGCCCUUGUGUGCCUGAGUCAAUAGAUAAAUAAAUGGCCACAGGGGGCUGUGCCUUGGUCUCCCUGUGGGGCUGGAUGGAGCAGCUUUCCUAGAGGCAUUUGGCCAUCUUGGUUCCCUGAAGACAGCCCUGGCUUCAGCACUGAAAGUCUAGCUCCGGGCCACCCCUCAGUCCUGGGCAACCUGGGAGGAUCGGCCCCUGCGGAGGAGUGAGUCUGUCUGGGAAGAUGAGCAGGAAUUUGCCAGCCAAGCAGAGAAGUGGUGCCUCAGGUCAGAUUGGCAGCGGCAGAGCCCAGGGCGGAGAUGCUUGUGCACGGGGUCUCUCACGGGAGGGGGCGACCCCUGUGAGUGAUGUUCGAGGCGUGCCGGCAGAGAGGCUGGAGCAGGACGGGGAAGCCGGAGAGGAGACCGGACGCUAAGCCAGGACCGGUCUGCUCCUCUCCCGCCUCGAGCCCACGGAGGGGCCUCUGUCCCCGCCCCUCGCCCCACCUGUCCGUCGCUGGCUUCCCUGGCGGUCUGGGCGCGUGCUUCCCGGCGAGGCGGCGCAGGAACGGGCGUGCCGUGCUGGGAGAAGGCGGCAGCUGUCAGAGGGAGGUUCCCGCAGGCUUUCCUGUUCAAAUUCUCUGGCUUCACCCUGUGUCCAGGAAUCGGGACCUGGUGCCGAGGAGGCUCUGGCUGUGUAGACCCCUCCCGUGAGGGGUGCAGGAGAGGAAGGUGAGGCAGAGGGCCCUGGAAAGGGACUUGCUCAGCGUUCUAGAGGGAGGAUGGCCGGGCAGCCAAGAGCUAGGACCUGGAAAGGCAGACCCCCUGGGUGGGAAUCUCAGCUCUGCCACUCACUCUGCGUGACCCGCAUGGGGUGUUACCGUGCCUGUGUGUGCCUCUGUUUCCUCCACUGUAAAAUGAAGCUAUACCUUCCUUUUAGAGUAUUUUUGAAAAGAUUCCAUUUUUAAAUAAUGUCACACUUUCAGAAAAGUUGCAUGCAAAAAAUAAAAGCAAAAAAGUAUAAAGAAUGUCUGUACCCCUUCUCCCAGAUUCCCCAAAUCUUAACAUUUUCCCAUGACUGCAUCCUCCUCUCUCUCCACAUAUAUCCAUGUUGUUAUUUUCUUUCUAGACUUAUUCCAGAAAGUAGCGGCCAUGCUGCUCAUUUACCUCUCAAUGCGUCGUGGGUGUUACCUAAAAAUAAAGUAUUCACUGAUGUAACCUCAGGACAGUAACCAAAAUCAGGACAUUAACAUUGCUACAGUGCUCUUGUCUAAUUUAUAGACCUGAUUCAAAAAUUGCCAAUUUAAAAAUGGAAUCUUAGAUAUUUGUCCCCACUCGCCAAGCUCAUGUUGAAAUUUUAUCUCAAUGUUGGUACCAGCCCUAAUGGGAGGAAUUUGGGUCAUGGGGGUGGAUCCCUCAUGAAGAAAUUAAUACUCUUCUUUGGGGGUUAGCAGCCAUUUCUUUCAACUUAAAUGCCUUUAGCUCCUUUUUUUCCUUGCUUCCUCUCUCACCACAUGAUCUCUGCACAUGCGGCUCCCCUCCACCUUCUCCAUGAAUGGAAGCAGCCUGAGGCCUUUACCAGAUGCCCAAUCUUUAACUUUUCCAGAUGUCGGAAUCAUGGGCCAAAUAAACCUUAUUUCUUUAUAAAUCA